UGCGUGCACUUCUCCCCUAGUAGGACGUCGCGACCCGUUGGGUGCCGGCUUACGGCCCGGUUGAUCGACUGUCGCGUCGUGUUCUCACGUAUACGCGACAGGCAACCGGUCGCCCGGCCGGCUGCUCGGCGGUAUAGAACGCAUUUAAACGGUAUUGGGCCGCACCAAGUGCGUCUCAGGCUCGCCGGCAGGCUCGUCUCGCCCGGAUUUACGGACCUAGCGCCGUUGCCGGGCGCUUGAUGCGGCCGCUAGUCGACGAUGUCCUCGGACUGGCUCUUACAUUCGAAAGGAUAUACCGGUCGGCGACGCUACUGCUUUGGGUACUUUCAGGACCCGUCUUGAAACACGGACCAAGGAGUCUAACAUGUGCGCGAGUCAUUGGGAUUUGUUAAGCCUAAAGGCGCAAUGAAAGUGAAGGUCGUCCUUAGUGUCGAUCGAGGGAGGAUGGCUCGCGUUACCAUUAUGCGAGCCCGCACUCCCGGGGCGUCUCGUGCUCAUUGCGAGCAGAGGCGCACCCAGAGCGUACACGUUGGGACCCGAAAGAUGGUGAACUAUGCCUGGUCAGGACGAAGUCAGGGGAAACCCUGAUGGAGGUCCGUAGCGAUUCUGACGUGCAAAUCGAUCGUCGGAACUGGGUAUAGGGGCGAAAGACUAAUCGAACCAUCUAGUAGCUGGUUCCCUCCGAAG
Molecule: ribosomal RNA, 687 nt
Filed under: Bootanelleus sp. D2482
Lineage: Eukaryota; Metazoa; Arthropoda; Insecta; Hymenoptera; Megastigmidae
Description: eukaryotic LSU rRNA
Rfam family: Eukaryotic large subunit ribosomal RNA
Source: RNAcentral